GACGAACGCUGGCGGCGUGCCUAAUACAUGCAAGUCGAGCGAUGAUUAAAGAUAGCUUGCUAUUUUUAUGAAGAGCGGCGAACGGGUGAGUAACGCGUGGGAAAUCUGCCGAGUAGCGGGGGACAACGUUUGGAAACGAACGCUAAUACCGCAUAACAAUGAGAAUCGCAUGAUUCUUAUUUGAAAGAAGCAAUUGCUUCACUACUUGAUGAUCCCGCGUUGUAUUAGCUAGUUGGUAGUGUAACGGACUACCAAGGCGAUGAUACAUAGCCGACGUGAAAGGGUGAUCGGCCACACUGAGACUGAGACACGGCCCAGACUCCGACGAGAGGCAGACGUAGGGGAUCUUCGGCAAUGCGUGAAACCCUGACCGAGCAACGCCGCGUGAGUGAAGAAGGUUUUCGGAUCGUAAAACUCUGUUGUUAGAGAAGAACGUUAAGUAGAGUGGAAAAUUACUUAAGUGACGGUAUCUAACCAGAAAGGGACGGCUAGCUACGUGCCAGCCGCCGCAGUAA
Molecule: ribosomal RNA, 515 nt
Filed under: uncultured bacterium
Lineage: Bacteria
Description: partial 16S ribosomal RNA
Rfam family: Bacterial small subunit ribosomal RNA
Source: RNAcentral